GUCUACGGCCAUGCCAACCCUGGACACACCCGAUCUCGUCUGAUCUUGGAAGCCAAGCAGGUGGGAGCCUAAUGCGUUAGUCCUUGGCUGGGGGAGUAGCUGAGCACA
RNAcentral lists this ribosomal RNA (108 nucleotides) under Echinops telfairi (small Madagascar hedgehog). Lineage: Eukaryota; Metazoa; Chordata; Mammalia; Afrosoricida; Tenrecidae. The record is from RNAcentral.